AGAGUUUGAUCAUGGCUCGGAAUGAACGUUGGCGGCAUGGAUUAGGCAUGCAAGUCGAGCGAGAAGUUCUAGUUUGACGCUUCGGUUGAUUCUAGAAUGGACAGCGGCGAAAGGGUGAGUAACGCGUAGUUACAUGCCUCAGGGUCUGGAAUAGCCACGGGAAACUGUGGGUAAUGCCAGAUAAUAUCUCCGGAUCAAAGGUGAGAUUCCGCCCUGAGAGUGGACUGCGUCCUACUAGCUUGUUGGUGGGGUAAUGGCCUACCAAGGCUCCGAUGGGUAGCGGGCGUGAGAGCGUGGCCCGUCACACUGGGACUGAGACACUGCCCAGACACCUACGGGUGGCUGCAGUCGAGAAUCUUCGGCAGUGCGCGAAAGCGUGACCGAGCAAUGCCGCGUGCGGGAUGAAGGCCUUCGGGUUGUAAACCGCUGUCAGUUGGGAGGAAGGAUUCGUGAAGAGCGAAUCUUGACCUAUCUUCAGAGGAAGUACGGGCUAAGUACGUGCCAGCAGCCGCGGUAACACGUACCGUACAAACGUUAUUCGGAAUUAUUGGGCUUAAAGGGUGCGUAGGCGGCGUUAUAAGUCGGGUGUGAAAUCCCUCAGCUCAACUGAGGAACUGCGCCCGAUACUGUAGCGCUUGAGGGAGACAGGGGUGAGCGGAACUGAUGGUGGAGCGGUGAAAUGCGUUGAUAUCAUCAGGAACACCGGUGGCGAAAGCGGCUCACUGGGUCUCUUCUGACGCUGAGGCACGAAAGCUAGGGUAGCGAACGGGAUUAGAUACCCCGGUAGUCCUAGCCGUAAACGAUGAGUACUUGGUCGAGGGUCCCCCCAUAGACUCUCGGCCGUA
This 845-nucleotide ribosomal RNA is filed under the name uncultured bacterium. RNAcentral's name for it is "bacterial SSU rRNA". It matches the Rfam family "Bacterial small subunit ribosomal RNA", at positions 8 to 850 of the family's 1533-position model. The record is from RNAcentral.